RNAcentral lists this long non-coding RNA (225 nucleotides) under Nicotiana benthamiana. Its description in RNAcentral is "long non-coding RNA (NBEN_LNC000747)". Lineage: Eukaryota; Viridiplantae; Streptophyta; Magnoliopsida; Solanales; Solanaceae. The record is from RNAcentral.
GACUCUGAGAUGAAGCAGGAGACAAAGGAGGAUCGUAAGGUUCAGGGAAAGACAACAUUUCUAUGGUAGAAGGCACCAGGUCUAGUACAGGAAACAUGGGAGUGCCAGUGGUUUGUAGGUGUUAAAAAGGAAAAUGUGUUCUUUAAAUACCACAUUUCUACUCAAUAAAGGUUUUCGAGGGUAGAUCAUAGACUUUGUAGCCCUUCUGAGUUGAAGAAUAGCCCA